Molecule: ribosomal RNA, 492 nt
Filed under: uncultured bacterium
Lineage: Bacteria
Description: partial 16S ribosomal RNA
Rfam family: Bacterial small subunit ribosomal RNA
Source: RNAcentral
AGUGAACGCUGGCGGUAGGCCUAACACAUGCAAGUCGAACGGCAGCACAGUAAGAGCUUGCUCUUACGGGUGGCGAGUGGCGGACGGGUGAGGAAUACAUCGGAAUCUACUUUUUCGUGGGGGAUAACGUAGUGAAACUUACGCUAAUACCGCAUACGACCUACGGGUGAAAGCAGGGGAUCUUCGGACCUUGCGCGAUUGAAUGAGCCGAUGUCGGAUUAGCUAGUUGGCGGGGUAAAGGCCCACCAAGGCGACGAUCCUUAGCUGGUCUGAGAGGAUGAUCAGCCACACUGGAACUGAGACACGGUCCAGACUCCUACGGGAGGCAGCAGUGGGGAAUAUUGGACAAUGGGCGCAAGCCUGAUCCAGCCAUACCGCGUGGGUGAAGAAGGCCUUCGGGUUGUAAAGCCCUUUUGUUGGGAAAGAAAAGCAGCAGGUUAAUACCCCGCUGUUCUGACGGUACCCAAAGAAUAAGCACCGGCUAACUUCGUG